CCUACGGGUGGCAGCAGUGGGGAAUAUUGGACAAUGGGGGGAACCCUGAUCCAGCCAUGCCGCGUGUGUGAAGAAGGCCCUCGGGUUGUAAAGCACUUUCAGUGAGGAAGAACGCCUGGUGGUUAAUACCCAUCAGGAAAGACAUCACUCACAGAAGAAGCACCGGCUAACUCCGUGCCAGCAGCCGCGGUAAUACGGAGGGUGCGAGCGUUAAUCGGAAUUACUGGGCGUAAAGCGCGCGUAGGUGGCUUGAUAAGCCGGUUGUGAAAGCCCCGGGCUCAACCUGGGAACGGCAUCCGGAACUGUCAAGCUAGAGUGCAGGAGAGGAAGGUAGAAUUCCCGGUGUAGCGGUGAAAUGCGUAGAGAUCGGGCGGAAUACCAGUGGCGAAGGCGGCCUUCUGGACUGACACUGCCACUGAGGUGCGAAAGCGUGGGUAGCAAACAGGAUUAGAUACCCGUGUAGUC
RNAcentral lists this ribosomal RNA (465 nucleotides) under Vreelandella stevensii. Its description in RNAcentral is "partial 16S ribosomal RNA". It matches the Rfam family "Bacterial small subunit ribosomal RNA", at positions 338 to 795 of the family's 1533-position model. Lineage: Bacteria; Pseudomonadati; Pseudomonadota; Gammaproteobacteria; Oceanospirillales; Halomonadaceae. The record is from RNAcentral.